RNAcentral lists this ribosomal RNA (250 nucleotides) under uncultured bacterium. RNAcentral describes it as "partial 16S ribosomal RNA". It matches the Rfam family "Bacterial small subunit ribosomal RNA", at positions 524 to 773 of the family's 1533-position model. The record is from RNAcentral. RNAcentral also lists the same sequence under 1 other name.
UACGGAGGAUGCAAGCGUUAUCCGGAAUUACUGGGCGUAAAGGGCGUGUAGGCGGCCUGCCAAGUCAGCUGUGAAAUUCCUCGGCUCAACCGGGGGUCUGCAGUUGAAACUGGUGGGCUUGAGUGCAGGAGAGGAGGGUGGAAUUCCUGGUGUAGCGGUGAAAUGCGUAGAUAUCAGGAGGGACACCGGUGGCGAAGGCGACCUUCUGGCCUGUUACUGACGCUGAGGCGCGAAAGCUAGGGGAGCAAAC